UGACACGUAGGCACCAAGCGUUGUCCGGAUUUAUUGGGCGUAAAGAGCUCGUAGGCGGUUCAGUAAGUCGGGUGUGAAAACUCUGGGCUCAACCCAGAGACGCCACCCGAUACUGCUGUGACUUGAGUACGGUAGGGGAGUGGGGAAUUCCUGGUGUAGCGGUGAAAUGCGCAGAUAUCAGGAGGAA
RNAcentral lists this ribosomal RNA (187 nucleotides) under uncultured bacterium. RNAcentral describes it as "partial 16S ribosomal RNA". It matches the Rfam family "Bacterial small subunit ribosomal RNA", at positions 521 to 706 of the family's 1533-position model. The record is from RNAcentral.